RNAcentral lists this ribosomal RNA (246 nucleotides) under uncultured bacterium. Its description in RNAcentral is "partial 16S ribosomal RNA". It matches the Rfam family "Bacterial small subunit ribosomal RNA", at positions 527 to 772 of the family's 1533-position model. The record is from RNAcentral.
GUAGGGGGCAAGCGUUAUCCGGAUUUACUGGGUGUAAAUGGAGCGUAGGCGGCUGUGUAAGCCAGAAGUGAAAGCCCGAGGCUCAACCACGGGACUGCUUUUGGAACUACAUGGCUUGAUUGCAGGAGAGGCAAGUGGAAUUCCUAGUGUAGCGGUGAAAUGCGUAGAUAUUAGGAGGAACACCAGUGGCGAAGGCGGCUUGCUGGACUGUAAAUGACGCUGAGGCUCGAAAGCGUGGGGAGCAAA